This 45-nucleotide non-coding RNA is filed under the name Trichobilharzia regenti. The record is from RNAcentral. Lineage: Eukaryota; Metazoa; Platyhelminthes; Trematoda; Strigeidida; Schistosomatidae.
AUCCAGAUGAUGUGUCCCGAAUAGGACGAAAUGCGCGUCCUGAAU